CACAGAGAAAAAAAUGUAGACAAUGAGUGUGUAUAUGUCCAUGAAUGACUGAAAAAGUUGUGCUGAACACUGGAAUUUGACACAACAAUUUAAAAUGAUUAUGAAUCAAUAAAAAAUGUUAA
Vicugna pacos (alpaca) is the source of this 122-nucleotide non-coding RNA. Lineage: Eukaryota; Metazoa; Chordata; Mammalia; Artiodactyla; Camelidae. The record is from RefSeq and is a predicted model, not a curated record.